RNAcentral lists this transfer RNA (35 nucleotides) under Eubalaena japonica (North Pacific right whale). RNAcentral describes it as "partial tRNA-Pro". Lineage: Eukaryota; Metazoa; Chordata; Mammalia; Artiodactyla; Balaenidae. The record is from RNAcentral.
ACCCAAAGCUGAAAUUCUACUUAAACUAUUCCCUG